This 296-nucleotide unclassified non-coding RNA is filed under the name plant metagenome. RNAcentral's name for it is "partial contains small subunit ribosomal RNA, internal transcribed spacer 1, and 5.8S ribosomal RNA". The record is from RNAcentral.
UUUCCGUAGGUGAACCUGCGGAAGGAUCAUUAACGAAUCGUUUGAGAGGGGGAGGGGGCGGACUGUCGCUGGCCUUUUCGGGGCAUGUGCACGUCUGCUCCUUUUCCCGAUCACAUCGUUCUUCACACACCUGUGCACCUGUUGUAGGCCGUAAAAAAGCCUAUGUUUUUCCACACACCUUUUUAAACGUAUGUCAAAGAACGUCUCCAUUAAAUUACCGAGUGGCUUCGCUAUUGUUGAAGUCGGUCGGUAAGGAAAACUUUAUAUAACUUUCAGCAACGGAUCUCUUGGCUCUC